UUGCCUCCGGAGCUGCGCCAGGGAGGGGCCUCGGCACAACUGCAUGCAUGCGUGAAUGUGUGUGUACCCAUGGCAGCCAUGUCUUAGGGGAACGUGCGCGUGAAAUGAGCUACAGACAGUGAGAGAGGAUAUAGAGGUUCGCGUUGAGGAGAGGUGGCGCGGGGGAAGGUGAGGGAAAUGUACGGUCGGUGAACGAACCCCAUGCUGCUCAAACGGGACCGCCAUAAGCAAACAGUGCACGGACACCAGGGGACAGACAGACGGAUAGACAGCCAGACGGAUAGUUGGACAGACGGACAGCCAGACGGAUGCACGGACGUCACCACCUGCACCACGGCACAUUCGCACCUCCAUUAUCAAGAGAGCCGCGUCAUCACGGUCGUCAUACACACAAGCAAAGUGUCGUACGAGCUCGUCGGGGUGGUUUGCAAGUUGUGAUAUUGCCCGUGCCGCAUGGGCCUCCUGAGCAACUCGCUGGCGGCGCAUGAAGUGGGAAAAGGACAUACAAAACAUGUCAAGGUACCUUGCUGAUUAGCAUUCAAGCCAAAUACAUGUUCGGACUCCCUGCAGUUAACACAUAGCAUGAUGAUGCCCCUAGGCGUUCCAGGGUCGAUCGCGAUAGAUAGUGUGCGGUAUAAAAAAGCUCGCGACCAUAAGCGGGUGAAUGUGCCCCCAUGUCAUUUUUAGGUGAAUGGCCCGGCCAUUGUGAUGCGCGAGCCGACCAGGAGUUGACGCCGCCGUUGAUUAGGGGGCAGAUUCCACUGGAUGCCGGGGGUAGUGGUACUGGUAAUGGGUAGGGGUUUAGCACUACCCAUUACCAUUACCACUACCACCACCACCACUACCACCCCACGUACGCCGCAGAAGUCGGCGUACGCGGGUGAGAAGGAUGAGGGCGCCCCGAAAUAUUGGGGAAGGUACGGAUUGCCGGGUUGUGGGCACGGGUAAAGCUGCAUCCCCCUAUCGUAUGCAAUCCGACGGGCGGCGGGAGGGUGAUGGAGGCCACCGGGACGGGGCUUUCACUGGGAAUCAUUUCUGACGACGAAAUGCAUGGCAAAAUGUUUUUCGUUGUGUGUGCGAGAGCGAAUGUGUGCGGUGCGUGAGGAAAAAAGAGAUCAGUGGAUCAUCCAGUGUGGUACGGCACUGUUAUGGCUUGUUACACAGUCAAGCCAAUGAUGCAACUUUUUGCGUCUAUCUGAAGUUCAAUGGGGUGGCAAGGUGUCAUGGUCAUGGAAGGAAAAAAGCAUGGACCAGUGAAGGCAAAUUUGUGCAACACGACUGGCCAUGGGUAAAUGAUACGGCGGGAACUACCUGCAGGACUUCCGCGCGCUGGUAGGGCACCUUCGACAGUGGCACCUUCUUAAUAGCAAAGCGUUCAUGGCUGACCGGGCACGUAAGCUCAUACACCCUAGGGGCGGGGCCAAUGGGCAUGAGGACAGCAGAGGUGUUGACCUAUCCAAGCGAGGCUGCCAGUUUUUCAAGUGACCCCGGUUUGCAGAGUGAACCAAUGUCUACAGCCAGCUCGGUGAAAAGAGGUUGCCGAUUUUCCUGUUGCCGCUCUUCGGACUUUCGGAUAAUGGCUGAUUAUGCCCGAAACGUUGCCUCACAACCUGCUAAUGCUACCUUGGCCAAUCUCCUUCUCAAGCGCCAGGCUCUGUGCACGCUUCAGAGCACUGCCCAAAUCGUGCGCAAAAGACUUCACGGUAAAGCACCAAGGAAACAUGUCCAAUGAUGAAUUUAUAAAGUCAAAGCGAGCACUUUAUUG
RNAcentral lists this long non-coding RNA (1765 nucleotides) under Volvox carteri. RNAcentral describes it as "long non-coding RNA (VCAR_LNC003823)". Lineage: Eukaryota; Viridiplantae; Chlorophyta; Chlorophyceae; Chlamydomonadales; Volvocaceae. The record is from RNAcentral.